UACAGAGGUCCCAAGCGUUGUUCGGAUUCACUGGGCGUAAAGGGUGCGUAGGUGGUUGCGUAAGUCUGAUGUGAAAUCUCCGGGCUCAACCCGGAAAUGGCAUUGGAAACUGCGUGGCUAGAGGGUUGGAGGGGGGACUGGAAUACUUGGUGUAGCAGUGAAAUGCGUAGAUAUCAAGUGGAACACCAGUGGCGAAGGCGAGUCCCUGGACAACACCUGACACUGAGGCACGAAAGCUAGGGGAGCAAACAGG
Molecule: ribosomal RNA, 253 nt
Filed under: uncultured bacterium
Lineage: Bacteria
Description: partial 16S ribosomal RNA
Rfam family: Bacterial small subunit ribosomal RNA
Source: RNAcentral